Molecule: ribosomal RNA, 253 nt
Filed under: uncultured bacterium
Lineage: Bacteria
Description: partial 16S ribosomal RNA
Rfam family: Bacterial small subunit ribosomal RNA
Source: RNAcentral
UACGUAGGGGGCGAGCGUUGUCCGGAAUCAUUGGGCGUAAAGCGCGUGUAGGCGGCCCGGUAAGUCCGCUGUGAAAGUCCAGGGCUCAACCCUGGGAUGCCGGUGGAUACUGUCGGGCUCGAGUCCGGAAGAGGCGAGUGGAAUUCCUGGUGUAGCGGUGAAAUGCGCAGAUAUCAGGAGGAACACCAAUGGCGAAGGCAGCUCGCUGGGCCGGACCUGACGCUGAGGCGCGAAGGCGUGGGGAGCGAACGGG